GGGGAUUUAGCUCAGUGGUAGAGCGCUUGCCUAGGAAGCGCAAGGCCCUGGGUUCGUUCCCCAGCUCCG
Molecule: non-coding RNA, 69 nt
Organism: Rattus norvegicus (Norway rat)
Lineage: Eukaryota; Metazoa; Chordata; Mammalia; Rodentia; Muridae
Source: Rfam